This 5065-nucleotide long non-coding RNA is filed under the name Homo sapiens (human). RNAcentral's name for it is "HSALNT0327253". Lineage: Eukaryota; Metazoa; Chordata; Mammalia; Primates; Hominidae. The record is from RNAcentral.
GCGGAGAGUGCGCGGCGGAGAGGAGCGGGGAGUGAGAGAGGGCGGGGAGGCGGCGCCGCUUUUAUAUGGAGACUAGGCAGGGAGCCGGGAGGAGGAGGAAGAGGAGGAGGAAAGGACCACCCGGCACAUCCUCACGCGGUGGCUGCCUCCGCUCUUCCAGCCGUUGGCCCGGGGCUGAUGUCAUCUGCAGCAAAUCAUCUCGCCCGCGGCCCGGAAGCUGGAGGGACGAGGUGUGCGGACAAUGGUCGGGGCAGGGCCGCGAGCCAAGGGGCUGGGGCGCCCGCUGAGCUCCUGCUGCAGCCGUGAAGGGGGAAGACGCUCUCAACCUACACCACCCACCACGUACACACCCACUGCCCACUCCUCACCCUCACCCUGUCUGUGCAUGGGAAUGGGAUGAGUUUCCAUUUUCGGAGUGGGGGUCUUUUCUCUUGUUGGAGUUGCACUAGUCAGGCCUCUGCCUUGUGUGCUGUGUAUGAUGUAGCCAGGUUCUCAGGAACUGGGAUAGCCACAGUGGGCAGAUGCGGGGCUGUGGGUACCCCGCCUAGGAAGACGGAACCUGUCUUUUCUUUGACCUUGUGGCUUUAAGAAGACGAAUUUACUGAUAUUUACCAAUAUCAAUAUUUACCACCUUCACUUAAAGAAUACAUCAAAAAUGCAAAACUUAAGCCUACUAUUGUUCAGGCCUUGGAUUCUACUCUGGCAGGGCCAAGGAUGAAAAAGUACUGGCUUUGUGGUGCUCAUGGGAAAUGAGAGAAAUGCAGAUGUAUUAUAUUAGAUACCAAUUUCUUUCCUUAAUGUGCUGAACAGAUAGUAUCAGUAAUAACAAAGAAUAAAGAGAAGAUACUGUCUCUACUCAGCAGGGUUACAGUGACUAUAAUGUACUUUUCAGUUCCUUGGGGAACACACAAGCAAAAUUACCUCGUGACAAUGAUGUCUUUUAAAAUACCUGUAGCAUUGGGAAUUUUUAUUGCCUUUGUUUGUGUUUAGAAGAACUAAAAAAUGUGUUUUUUGUUUUUGUUUUUUUGUUUUUUUUUUUAAGGCAGCCUAUUUACAACCGUUUCUCACAAACAUACUGAAUAUAGCUUCUGUCCCAGAAAAGGGGAGGAGGGUGAGGAAAGAGCAAAAUGUGCAAACAUGGUAUCAUAGAAGACUGGGGAAUUCGAGCUUUAAGGAAGAGGAAUAGAUGGAAAUUAGUCAACAUAGCUUUAAUACUAGAAUGCCUGUUAGUAAAAUAUAGAUGAUAGAUAGAUAGAUAGAUAGAUAGAUAGAUAGAUAGAUAGAUAAUCACCUAGAUAUUCUUAAGAUUUCCAAAAUAACCCAGUGUCUUAGGUGUUAGCUGCCAUGACUUAUUGGUCAUGUACUCUUUGCUCUUAUAUCUUUCCUGACACCCUGGCAUGGGAGACAUGCUGGGCAGCCAAGGGCUGGGGGGUUCCAUCCAACAUGUCAAUCUGAUCAAUGCAGAAUGAAAAUACCGUCUGGCCCGCAGUAUUUGGGAUCUGUGACAGGAUCACUAGAGAGUUGCAUUCACCAGUAAUUAGAUGAAGUGUUUCCAACUAGCUGCAUUCACCAGUAACUAGAUGAAGUGUUUCCAGAUAAUAUUUUGGUUAAGAUAUUCAAUUGCUGUUCAAGAAGUAAGGCCAGCACCAAAGCCCAUAACUGGGGUGAGGGGCAGGAAAUAUGGUGAAGAGCACUGUUUUCUAAAGGUCAUCCGUUGGAUUCCAGCCUCAUCUAGUUUGUGUUUGGUUUUCCUUUCUUUGAACCAUUGUUACUUUUAUGUAUGUAAUAGUUUUCUUUUAUGCAGUUUAUUUCUUUUACUUAAAUUUAUUUUUAAAUGCAAUUCUAUGUUGCUGUAUAAAUGGAAACACUAAUAUCACUUAUUAAUAGAAAGUAUCCCUAAAAAUAUACACAAUGAAGAUAAGAUGUGAUCAAAUUCCUGCUACAUACUGUUAUGAUUUGCUCAAGACUCUGAGUCCAAGGCUCUCCUUUCUUGGUUGAAAACAGAGAUUGGCCAAGUGUUAGAGAGGUAUUAAAGAGAUACUAACACCUAACUGAGUUGUUCUCCAUGUUGCAACAGAAGAUUGGAUGAAAAUUAUAACAGAGCGCUUUCUUACUGUGUGUGUCUGUGCAAUUAAACACCAUGACCGUGACCACCUAAGUCAUCACCCACACUUUGAAAAAUAGAGGCAUAAUGGGAGAACACAGACUAGGGAUGCAGAAUACUACUUUACAGCUCGGUAACUUUGGCAAGUGACUUACUCUUUUUGAUCUUCCAUCUCCUUAUUUAAUGAGAAGAAGAACAUCUUUAUAACUGUUAAAGUAACUGUAAGAAAGAAGGAAAUGAUAGAAUGUGUAAGCACCUAAUACAGUGGCUGGGCAUAGUAAGCAAUCAAGGGAUGGUUGAUUCAUUGACCUGUUUUCUCCCAGUUACUAAGACAAUGGAGCAAAAGCAGUCUUAUAAAAUGUGCAAGUGAUACUGCUACAACACCUCUGAAACAAGAACAGAAUAUUACAUUAUUAUACUUCAAUACUAGAAAAGUAGCCCCUUCCCCUCUUCAUCCCAAGAAAAUGUAUACAGUUCUAAGGAGGAAAAAGGGGGAAAACUAACAUAUAAGAGCACCAAUAUUGCCAGCUGCUCAACUGACAUCACCUGGAUAUACCAAAGGCACCAGAAUCUUGACAUGCUCCAAACCCAAAUCAUCUUUUACCUCUAAACGGGAUCCUCUCUCAUUCUUGUUAUUUCAAUGAACCAUAACACCAUGUAUCCCAUGAUGCAAACCAAAACCUCACAAAUAUUUUGGACUCUCCCCUGACCCUUAGCCUCGUGUGCAAUCCAGCAUGGAGUCUGGUCAAUUUCACCUUCAGUAUCUCUUCAAUCCAUCCACGUUUCUCCAUUAUCACCAACCUAGUCCAAGCUAGCAUCAUUGUGAUAGGUACUAGUGUACCGGUUAGAAAAUGGGUUCUGGAGUCAGACUGCCUGGUUUUGAAUCCUAAUACCAUAAUUUAUUAGCUGUGUGGCCUUAAGCAAGGUGCUUAACCACUCUAUACCUUGGUUUUCUCAUUUGUAUAGUAGAGAUGAGUACCGACCUCAUGGACAGGAGGACAGUUUAAAUAUGCAAAUUACUUAAAACAGUGCCUUGCAUAUAAUGAGCACUUAAUAGGGAUUAGUUGUUUUUGGUAUGGGGUUAGUUGUUUUUGGCUGUUAUUGUUUAACAUUUUACUAUGGAAAAUUUCAAACAGAGAGAGUAUAAUGUAAGUAACACCCACAUACCCAUUAUCCCCAAUCCAUAGAUUUUUAUAGUUUGCUUCUUUAAAUCAAGAUUGAAAUAAUGUCUAUAUAUUUCAACUGAUUCAUCAGUCUUAAACUCCUUUGAUCUAUGUAAUCCUGCUAUUUUUUUCCUUGUAAUUUUCUGUUGAAUAGUGGCAACAUUGUUCAGCAGAGUUUCACAAAGCAUAAAUUUUGCCGAUUGCAUCACCUGUUGUGUUAUUUAACAUGUUCUUCUAUCUUCUGAAUUUUCUGAGAGAACUAAAGUCUUGAUCAGAUGCAGAUUUGAUAUUUUUUACAUGUAUACUUCAUAGGUAAUAUUGUGAUCUUCCAUCAGAAGGCACCUAAAGACUAGUUAACCCUCAUUCUGUGAUUUUAGCAGCUAUUGAUGAUCAUUACCUAGAUCCAUUAUUUCACUAUGGAUUGAAAAAAUGAUAAUAUUCUAAUUUUGUUAUUAUUUAUUUGACAGCUAGAAGACUUCUGUUAGGAGAAGCGUUAUCCUGUCAGUUGAUUACCCUGAGGUACGUUAUUAUUAUUGCUGUUUGACAGAUGAAAAACUGACAUGGAGAAAAGUUAGACAAUUCCUCCAAAUCACAAAGAUAAUGCCUAGAUCUAGAAGCCAAACAGAUGGGUUGAAGGUGAUACCUAAUUUUAACAUUUGAUGACUCCUGCCAAAUUACCCUCUGAAAAGAAUUUAACAAUUUAUAUUCCUUCCACAUCAUUGCCUCUUUCCCCACAUCAUAAUGUAAGUCUUCUUAUUUUUUACUCACCAAAGGGAGAGAAAUAUUUACUGUUUAAAACUGAGCACCUUUUAAACUGCUUUUCUUUCUUUAUUGGCUUAACUCUUCAAGAUGUGUCUUUUUUCUGAUUGGACUAUUGUUUUUAUCUUUACUGGCUUUUAGAAGCUCUUUAUAUAAUCUGGAUAAUAAGCUUUCGUCAUCAAUAUAUGUUGCAGAUAUUUCCUCUCAGUGUGUCAUCAGAUUUUGUAUUUAUGUCUAUUUAUUAUGUCUGUGACCAUACAAAUUAUUAAAUUUCUUAUAAGGUUAGGCUAAGCUUCUUUCUUUAUGAGUUAAUGGGGGUUGUCUGUCUUAGAAAGGAUCUCUCAUUCCAAACCUUAAAACUAUUCUCCUAAUAAUUUUAGAUUUGUUCAACUGAGAGAGUGCUUAACUCAGGAGAUCAAUAAAGGUUCAUAGAGGAAGAAGUAUUUGAAAUUGUCCUGGAAGAACAAUAUUUUUCAACAGGCAGAGAUGGAGAAAGGACAAUCUACAUGAACAGAACAGCAUGAGCAAAAAGAACUGGUUAGAGACUAUCCAUAGGAUAAAUUUCUAGCAAAUUGCUGAGUCCAGGAUAUGCAUGUUUGCAAUUUUGGAAGAUCUUAAAAACUUGCCUCCUAUAGGUGUUGUACCAGUAUAUACUUCUGCCAGUAAUAGAUGGGUGGGCUGCUGAUGCCUCAAAAUGUAAGUAUUUUCAAACUUUUAAAUUUUAGCCCAUUUAACAUAAUUUAAAAAUUAUGUCUCUGUGUGAUUUUAGUUCCAUUUCCCUUAUUAUAUAUAAGACUGAACAUCUUGGCAUAUGUUUAAGGGCCAUCUGCAUUUCCUUUUCUGUGCACUGUCAGCUUAUAUGCUUUGCCCAUUUUUUCUAGUAGAUGGUUAGUGUUUUUCUUAUUGAUUUGUAUAUAUUCUGUAUUACUCCUUUAUCACAUUGCCACAAAGAAAUGCCUGAGAUGGUGUCAUUUAUAGAGAAAAGAGGUUUAAUUGGCUCACAGUUCCACAGGCUAUACAGGAAGCAUGGCUGAGGAGG